GGAGACCUAUUGGUCAAAAGGCCAAAAUUUGUGGCUUUUAUGUGUUUUAAUUGACUAAUUAGUAAUAAAAUAAAGAAAAGAAAAUAUCAUCUUUUCUUCAUCUUCUCUCCACCGAAAAAUGGCAGCAAAGAAAGGGUUUAGAAGCUGGAAACUUUCAGCAAAGAAACUCCCUUUAUAGUAAGUGAUUUUAAUGUCUUUGCUUGAUGAUUUUUACAUUUUUGGAAUCCCUAAAGCAUGAGCUUUCAUAAGAGGGGAUUAUUUUGCAAAUGAUGAAGAGUCUAGGGUUUUACCAUGAGAGUAAAUAUGUUGUUUUCUGUGUUUUUAUGGAAGAUUAUGAGUCCUAGUUGUCUAAUAAACAACUUUUGUGAAAGAAAUUGCAUGAAAAUACCUUAAAAAGGGCUAAAUUGCUAAGUUGUAAAAUGAGUUGUAAAUGUGUAAAACAGUUGAAAUUAUGAGCUGCUGUAGUUAUGAAAAUGGUUCAUCUAGACUCAAGGAGUAAAGAAAUGUGAUAAAAAUUAAUUUACGAGCAUUGGGGCAAAAGUGCAAAUAUGCAAAAGUUUAGGGGUCAAAAUGAAAAUUUGUAAAAAUAUGAUUUUUAGACCCAUAUGAAUAUUGUGACUGAUUGUUAGGCUAAAUUGAUGUUAUAGAUGAUGAAAAUUGAGAUUUGGACCUAGAACGGAAAGAAAUCGAUUUAUGGACGAGUAUGUCUUUUCACCUUUGUGGUAUCGAGGUAAGUUCGUAUGUAAACAAUACCAUGCUAUACAUGUAUUUAAAUGUUAUCAUUACAUGAAUUGUAAGGUAUUAAUGUGUAUGUGAUUAAUAGAAAUAUGAUAAGACAAAGCCUUAAUAGGCAAGGAAAAAUCCCGUUUGAACGUUAGGAAUAAAUUAGGAUACGAGUGACAUGUCACUAGGAAUUAUGAGUCUAGAUGACUAGCUCGAUAGUGAGCAUUGAAAUGUCAUGAGAUAUGAGAUAGCUUUAGCUACAAUUGAGGCACUUAUGUGCAAAGGCUUUUCCGAGUAUCCAAUUAGUAUUCCAAGUGUUCAACGGGCAAUCCAAGGAAAGAGUUGAUGAUGGUCCCAAUGAGGUAAGUCAUUAGUGAGUAUGCACUCGAGUUAUGUUACGAGUUGUGCAAGUAUGUAUACUAAGCCUAUGAGAAUGCCUUGAUACGUGAUGAUCUAUGAUGCAUAAUAUGUGUUCUUACCAUGAUGGAUAAAAUGGUGUUGUAUUAAUAUUAUGAACAAUGACCAUGAAUGAGUAACUUAACCUUGACAGAUUUGAGUUACUGCAGUAGUGUAACUUUGAAAAUACACUAAAAAUAGUAUAAAAUGAAUUAGAGGCAGAAUAAAAUAUGGGAUUAAAGCUUAAUGAGUCUAUUUUCACAUGAAAGAAAUAAAGGAGAAAAAGAAUUCUAUAUUGUGUGAUAUUUAAAUUCUCGUGAAACAGGGUCUGAAUGAAUUCGAGAUCCCCUGUUCUGAUUUUAUAAAUUCACCGUAAAUUGUACAAAAAUUAUUAAGAGUCAUACCUUACAUGCAUGGAUUCCUUAUUGAGUCUAUCUUUAAGGGAAACAAACGGCAUGAUCAUUGGAAUUAUGUACAGAGAGAAAUUCAGUUCGUAGUGCAUAGGGGUCAGAGUAGUCAUACCCUAAAACAGGGGAAAUUUUAACUAAUAAACUGUAUUAAAUGGCUUGACCAAAAAUUCUAGAAAAAAAAUUAGUAAGUAGACAUAUGAGUCUAGUUUCAAGGGAAAUAGACGAUAACAUUAUUCGAGUCCUGUACUAUGAGAUAAUUGAACUUUAAUGCAGAAGUGUUGAAACUGUCAGACAGUGAAUCAGGAGCAAACUUGAGGAAUAAACUGUACUAAUUGGCUAAGUCAAAAAUUCUGGAAAUUUUAUCGAAGAAAUAUAAAUGAGUCUAGUUUCAGGGAAAAUUAACGGAACUUAAUUUGGAGUUUCGUAGCUCCAGAUAUGAAUAAUUUAGUGACUGCUGCUCAGGAAGACAGCUUGUAGUGAACUUGAGAAUAUGUUGUAAACAUUGAUAAAACAAGUUAAUGAGUUGCUUAUUGUUUUCAUAUGAACUUACUAAGUGAAAGCUUACCCUCUUCUUUCCCAUGUUUUCUAGAGUUUCCAGGUUAGCUCGGGUUGGAGGCCGUCAGAGAUAUUAUCACACUGUCGAGUUAACGCUAUCGACGUAAGUAAACUCAAGUGAUUCUAGUCUAUGGCAUGUAUAGGGUUUUAAUGUGAGUAUGUAAUAUUAUGAUUUAGCCAAAGGCAUUGGCUUGUUAUUAAGGUAGUAUUGUAAUAUUAUGAUUUAGCCAAAGGCAUUGGCUUGUUAUUAAGGUAGUAUUAGUCCUGUAAAUUGGCCUAUGUCGGCUAAUAUCGUUAUGGGCCCAUAUGAUUAUUCUUAUGCAUGUAUGUUAUUAUCUCUUGUAAUGUGGCUUACAACAUGUAUGCCUAGAGAUUGAAUUGAGAUUCAUUGAUGAGCUAAUAGCUAAUGCAGGAUUAAGUGAUUGGUAAAUAGUUAAUAAUGCUUCAUGAAUGGUUUGUGGAUAUGAUUAUGCAUGCUUUGUGAUGGACAAGAGGUUUGAUGACAUGUUGAUAGCUAUAGCAUUAAUAUGGUAAAGAUGAAAAAAAAACUUAUUGUAAUGGUUGCAUGUGAAAUUACCAUGG
RNAcentral lists this long non-coding RNA (2666 nucleotides) under Gossypium barbadense (sea-island cotton). RNAcentral's name for it is "long non-coding RNA (GBAR_LNC003735)". Lineage: Eukaryota; Viridiplantae; Streptophyta; Magnoliopsida; Malvales; Malvaceae. The record is from RNAcentral.